Non-coding RNA from Plectropomus leopardus (leopard coralgrouper), 360 nucleotides. NCBI's taxonomy places the organism in Eukaryota, Metazoa, Chordata, Actinopteri, Perciformes, Serranidae. The record is from RefSeq and is a predicted model, not a curated record.
AGGAAAGAGGAUGAAGGAAAAAUAAAAAGACAGCAAGAUAAUAAAUAUGGAUUCAGCUGUUUUUGGAGAGGACGAUGUGGAGGUGUCCACUCGACGUCACAGCGAGACCGGAACAAGAAACCAGAAAACCCUCGUCCCAAACCUCGACGAGCAGGAUCCAUGUCUGUUAUUCUGCUACACUGAAGCUAAAAAGAGCUGUUGAUCAGAGGAAGAAAGACGAGGACAUGAAGACCUGCACUAACUGUCUCUUUAAUGAAGAUGCUGUGGUUAUUAUAAAGUAGUUACUGCUCCUUCUCAUUCGUUUAAAAACAAACGCUUACUGCAUGAGAUUUGCAUUGUGAAUAAAAAGUUAAUUUGUCU